AGAUUGAACGCUAGCGGGAUGCUUUACACAUGCAAGUCGAACGGCAGCGCGGACUUCGGUCUGGCGGCGAGUGGCGAACGGGUGAGUAAUAUAUCGGAACGUGCCCAGUAGCGGGGGAUAACUACGCGAAAGCGUGGCUAAUACCGCAUACGCCCUACGGGGGAAAGGGGGGGAUUCUUCGGAACCUCUCACUAUUGGAGCGGCCGAUAUCAGAUUAGCUAGUUGGUGAGGUAAAGGCUCACCAAGGCGACGAUCUGUAGCUGGUUUGAGAGGACGACCAGCCACACUGGGACUGAGACACGGCCCAGACUCCUACGGGAGGCAGCAGUGGGAAUUUGGACAUGGGGAACCUGAUCCAGCCAUCCCGCGUGUGCGAUGAAGGCCUUCGGGUUGUAAGCACCUUGGCAGGAAGAAACGGCGUGCCCUAAUACGGACGUCACGUCGACGGUACCUGACAGAAUAAGCACCGACUAAC
RNAcentral lists this ribosomal RNA (475 nucleotides) under uncultured soil bacterium. Its description in RNAcentral is "bacterial SSU rRNA". It matches the Rfam family "Bacterial small subunit ribosomal RNA", at positions 26 to 501 of the family's 1533-position model. The record is from RNAcentral.